AGCUUUGCGCAGAGGCGGUAACGUGACCAAUGAGGCUUAGCCGAGGUGCGUUUAUUGCUGGUUGAAAACUUUAACCCAAUUGCCCGCCGCAGCUCCUGAAAUACGGAUGCUGUUGGCAAUUUUUGAACGCUCCGUACGGAG
Syphacia muris is the source of this 141-nucleotide non-coding RNA. Lineage: Eukaryota; Metazoa; Nematoda; Chromadorea; Rhabditida; Oxyuridae. The record is from Rfam.